Non-coding RNA from Marivirga sericea, 38 nucleotides. NCBI's taxonomy places the organism in Bacteria, Pseudomonadati, Bacteroidota, Cytophagia, Cytophagales, Marivirgaceae. The record is from Rfam.
GUGGUGAAAUCCGAAAAGCCAAUACAAUAGAGUAGGAA